Molecule: small nuclear RNA, 106 nt
Organism: Cercocebus atys (sooty mangabey)
Lineage: Eukaryota; Metazoa; Chordata; Mammalia; Primates; Cercopithecidae
Source: Ensembl
GUGCUCACUUCAACAGCAUAUACACUAAAACUGUAAUCUACAGAGAAGAUUGGCAUGUCCCCUGCACAAGAAUGACACACAAGUUAAUUAAGCAGUCCAUAUUUUG